RNAcentral lists this small RNA (189 nucleotides) under Sinorhizobium meliloti 2011. Its description in RNAcentral is "putative ncRNA". The record is from RNAcentral. Lineage: Bacteria; Pseudomonadati; Pseudomonadota; Alphaproteobacteria; Hyphomicrobiales; Rhizobiaceae.
GUUGCCAAUUCCAUAGUACUUGGCCGGAUCUGGUAGUUCGAAGCCCUGGCUGAAAUUGGCGUAGACCUGCUGCGUAUUCGUCAACUGGUAGGUUGCGCCUGCACUGAACAAAGCGGCGUCGUAAUUGACUUCGCCGCCAGGUAUGGUGUCGGCAGACGUUGCUCUGCCCUGCAGGAUGGCGACCUGCUG